This 30-nucleotide non-coding RNA is filed under the name Rattus norvegicus (Norway rat). The record is from RNAcentral. Lineage: Eukaryota; Metazoa; Chordata; Mammalia; Rodentia; Muridae.
UCUUACAUAAACUCAGGACCACUGUAAAGA